Molecule: long non-coding RNA, 215 nt
Filed under: Capsella rubella
Lineage: Eukaryota; Viridiplantae; Streptophyta; Magnoliopsida; Brassicales; Brassicaceae
Description: long non-coding RNA (CRUB_LNC004887)
Source: RNAcentral
UCCAACUCUUUGGAGUUGAGGAAAUCACGCAAAUUUCCGAAUUUGUCUAUUCAAAAUCGAUGUUUCUUCUUUCGUUUCCGCUUUAGGUUCUCGAUGUUCUCCUUUACUGUUUUGUUGUUGUUGUUUAUUCUGUCAAUUUUGGUAUUUUCCACUACUUGUUUUCUUUAUAACUUCUGUCACAAAUUUGAAAAUUUGGUAUAAAACUUAACUUUUAC